CAGUUUUCUGAAGCAGCCCUGAAGACCACCACAGAGGCUUGCCCAGUGCUGAGCAGGACCAAGCUGGAGCUUCAUUUACAACCUGGAUGAGUUCAGGAGCUGCAAUGGUGCUGUGGCUCUGUACCAGCUCUUCAUGGGGAAAAACCUGCAGGACACCUCGAGACUGACAACUCCUCUGACCACAGCUGAAUCUGAGAGGAGCUUCUCAACACUGAAGAGAAUCCAGACUUUCCUCAGCAGACAGCGCUUCACUAUGAAUUGUUCCACACAGAAACCACAGAUGCCCCUGUCAACACCAACACUACAGCAGAUGUAAGGGCCACAGCUGGAACACUCGUGUCACUGCCCAAACAGCUGUCCCACCAGAGGAGGGAAGUCUCCCCAGCUAUGAUGGAUGACUCAAACAAGUUUCCCCCACCAACCCAAAACAACUUCUGAACUUCUCAGUUCCAGAACAAAGCUGCUACAAAUAACCUGGUUCAGCGUUGGAUUGGAGGGAAAGGAGCGAACGG
Long non-coding RNA from Austrofundulus limnaeus, 512 nucleotides. RefSeq lists it as uncharacterized. The record is from RefSeq and is a predicted model, not a curated record. NCBI's taxonomy places the organism in Eukaryota, Metazoa, Chordata, Actinopteri, Cyprinodontiformes, Rivulidae. The transcript has 3 exons.